This is a long non-coding RNA of Camelus dromedarius (Arabian camel), 2250 nucleotides long. RefSeq lists it as uncharacterized. The record is from RefSeq and is a predicted model, not a curated record. Lineage: Eukaryota; Metazoa; Chordata; Mammalia; Artiodactyla; Camelidae. The transcript has 3 exons.
GGAGGGUGCCCAGGGCACAUCCCCUCCCGCCUGCUAUUAGUCCACAUGGACAUUGCAGACCGAUGAGCUCAUGCUGGGUGAAAACAGAAAUGUUUUUGAAGAAGCCAGUUUGGCAGCUUGAGAGUUGAGGCUGGCUUUCAUUGCGGGAAGAAUCCAGAGACUCCACGGAGAGAAACAGUGACCCUGGGAGGGAGUGCCCCCUCAGCCAGCUUCGGACUGGCCAACUGGAGAGGAAGGAGGGAGGGCGCAGGUCUCUCUGCGCGGACCCGCCUUCAGGGAAAUGCACCAGAAACCAGCACCUGAAAUGCAGAGUUUCUCCACCCUCCACCCCAAGACAGACCAGAGCAAUUUCAGAGUCCUGGCUGGCACUGUCCUCCACAAGGGUGUCCAUCCCCUGGACUACUCAUUCCAGACAUCAGAUCAAGAAAGAAAAGAACCAUUUUUCCAAAUCAGAGGCCAAAAAGGAGAUUUCCUCCCCUGCCAACUGGGCUUCAAGGUCUGGGGCAACUUCUUGGCCAAGAAGCUGAGUUGCAGGGGGCAGAAGUCUGACUUCAAAAUGAAAAGGAUGAAUCCAGGGGCGUGGACAUCUGCCGCCCGCCAGAGAGCCACACCUCAAAGGACCAGGCAGACCCAUCGCCACCCAAAACCAGCAUCCUAGAUCCUUUCACCCACAUCCUGAGGGGGACAGGCCCUCAGCGAGGCCAGCCGGUCCCACACCUGUCCCGAGUGCAUGUACUUACAGCCAGGAUGGCGCGGUCCCGCUCCAUGAGGUCCGCCAGCUGGUGCAGCAGCCGGCCCCGGCUCAGGGCAUCCAGCCGGCGCCAGGCCGAGCCCCUCUGGAAGGCGGCCUGCGCGGCCUCCACAGCCUUGUCCACGUCGGGCUGUACCACCAAAAACAGCAGAGAGCGCAUCACCCUUUGCCAAGGGCUCGCUGUCAGUUACAGAGAGAGGGGAGUCCUGCCGCAGAGGAAGGAGGGAUGGCGGGCAGGCUGAGAGCGGCAGCAGGGUUCAACGCACCUGAAUGGCUGGGGGCUUUCACUUAUAUCUUAAGUCUUUUUCAAGUUUUCUCAAUGGCCAAGGAUUACAUUUCCUUCUGAUUAUACAAGCAUUUUAAAAUAGUCAUGGGGUGGGGCGGGCAGGGUAUAUAGCUCAGUGGGACAGUGGGUGGUUAGCAUGAAUGAAGUCUUGGGUUUGACCCCCAGGACCUCCAUUAAAAAAUAAAUAAACUUAAUUACCUCCACCCCAAAUGAAAGAAAAAAAAGAAAAAGAAAUAAAAAAUAAAAGGAAAGUCCAGAGAUGGGGAAAAUUAGGGACUUUUUCCUGCCUUCAGCUUCACCUCCCCUCCCCACUGGGGGUAGAACUGUGGCACAUUUUUAUAGACAAGGAACUGGAUCUUCUGUGCCCUGGUAGAAUUACCAUCAAACCUUCGUACUAGGAAAGAAGUGAGAGCCAUUUAGAGUGAUGACACCCAUUUUUAUGUUCAGGAAAAUGGGGUUUGAGGCUCUGGUUGCUGAUGGACGGCAGCUCACCCCCCAGGCUCCUCUGAGCCUCUCUUCCUUAGCGGGGUACAGCCAGCAGUGGACACCUGAAACCAGUCAAGAGGGACACCCUACCAAGAUUCUGCAUUUCCAAAGCAUGCUUGGAAGUGAGUAAAAGCUUUUGCAAAGGAGAUAUUAGGACUUUGAAUUCCCUGUCCCAGGCUCUGAAGUGGAGGCCACGACCUCUCCAGCUGCAGGGACAGGGCAGCCUCUGCCUUCUGCUGCUCGGAGCUGUCACCCAGACCACAGGAAAAGCCGGAGCCCAGGGCAGGGACCUCGCUCUCCUCCCUGAUUCUUGGGAAUGAAUCCUACUCAGCAUCACACCACCCCUCCCCACGGCCUCACAUCUCCUCGUGAGCCCCUCCUCAGUGCUAGAGUCUUUGUAAACAGAGCUUCACAUGGGACGCUGCACAUGAGAGGGUCUGCAUCGCAGGAACCUCUGUGCACACCUGUCACAAAACUAUGGCUGGUGAGCAUAGCUGCCUUCCAAACCUAUGGCUGGUGGAAUCAAGGUCAAGCCUAUUUCAUACAUGUGUCCUUCACCCUGUUCAUGUCCAACAUGACCUACACACUUAAGAAUGUCAGAUGGGGCCUGAAGAGGGGACAGAGUCAUAUGUCCAGCCAGGAGCACGCUCAGAAUUAGAAUCUAAGUCUCUUGACUUUUAAGACAUUUUCAGAGAAUUACAUUUUGUCAUAAUAAAACUAAAGCAAU